This 508-nucleotide ribosomal RNA is filed under the name Tetrias fischerii. RNAcentral's name for it is "partial small subunit ribosomal RNA". Lineage: Eukaryota; Metazoa; Arthropoda; Malacostraca; Decapoda; Pinnotheridae. The record is from RNAcentral.
AGACGGUGAUUUUAAUAAUAUUAUUAGUAAAUAGAAGGUAAAAUUAAUAUUGUUUUGUAAUAAAAUUAAAUUAAAGUUGAGGCUAAAAAGUGUUGGAUAUAAACUAGGAUUAGAUACCCUAUUAUUCUAAUAGUAAAAUAGAUCUCUAGAUUAGUAAUAGUUAUUUACUUAAAAUUUAAAAAAUUUGGCGGUAAUUUAAUCUUUCCAGAGGAAUUUGUUUCUUAAUCGAUAAUCCGCGAAAUAUCUUGCUUAUUUUGUUAAUAGUUUGUAUACCAUCAUUAUCAGGUAAUUUUAAAAGAAAUAAUUACUAAAUAUAAUUAAUUAAAAAAAUUAGAUCAUGGUGCAGCUAAUAGAUAAGUUGAAAUGAAUUACAAUAAAUUAUUUUAAUACGAAUUAAUAAAUGAAUAUUUAUUAAGAAGGAGGAUUUGGUUGUAUUUUGAAUUUAAUAUGUUCAAAGGAUAUAAGCUCUAGGUUAUGUACAUAUUGCCCGUCGCUUUCACUUAUAAAU